UCGAACGAACUCUGGUAUUGAUUGGUGCUUGCAUCAUGAUUUACAUUUCAGUGAGUGGCGAACUGGUGAGUAACACGUGGGAAACCUGCCCAGAAGCGGGGGAUAACACCUGGAAACAGAUGCUAAUACCGCAUAACAACUUGGACCGCAUGGUCCGAGUUUGAAAGAUGGCUUCGGCUAUCACUUUUGGAUGGUCCCGCGGCGUAUUAGCUAGAUGGUGAGGUAACGGCUCACCAUGGCAAUGAUACGUAGCCGACCUGAGAGGGUAAUCGGCCACAUUGGGACUGAGACACGGCCCAAACUCCUACGGGAGGCAGCAGUAGGGAAUCUUCCACAAUGGACGAAAGUCUGAUGGAGCAACGCCGCGUGAGUGAAGAAGGGUUUCGGCUCGUAAAACUCUGUUGUUAAAGAAGAACAUAUCUGAGAGUAACUGUUCAGGUAUUGACGGUAUUUAACCAGAAAGCCACGGCUAACUACGUGCCAGCAGCCGCGGUAAUACGUAGGUGGCAAGCGUUGUCCGGAUUUAUUGGGCGUAAAGCGAGCGCAGGCGGUUUUUUAAGUCUGAUGUGAAAGCCUUCGGCUCAACCGAAGAAGUGCAUCGGAAACUGGGAAACUUGAGUGCAGAAGAGGACAGUGGAACUCCAUGUGUAGCGGUGAAAUGCGUAGAUAUAUGGAAGAACACCAGUGGCGAAGGCGGCUGUCUGGUCUGUAACUGACGCUGAGGCUCGAAAGUAUGGGUAGCAAACAGGAUUAGAUACCCUGGUAGUCCAUACCGUAAACGAUGAAUGCUAAGUGUUGGAGGGUUUCCGCCCUUCAGUGCUGCAGCUAACGCAUUAAGCAUUCCGCCUGGGGAGUACGGCCGCAAGGCUGAAACUCAAAGGAAUUGACGGGGGCCCGCACAAGCGGUGGAGCAUGUGGUUUAAUUCGAAGCUACGCGAAGAACCUUACCAGGUCUUGACAUACUAUGCAAAUCUAAGAGAUUAGACGUUCCCUUCGGGGACAUGGAUACAGGUGGUGCAUGGUUGUCGUCAGCUCGUGUCGUGAGAUGUUGGGUUAAGUCCCGCAACGAGCGCAACCCUUAUUAUCAGUUGCCAGCAUUAAGUUGGGCACUCUGGUGAGACUGCCGGUGACAAACCGGAGGAAGGUGGGGAUGACGUCAAAUCAUCAUGCCCCUUAUGACCUGGGCUACACACGUGCUACAAUGGAUGGUACAACGAGUUGCGAACUCGCGAGAGUAAGCUAAUCUCUUAAAGCCAUUCUCAGUUCGGAUUGUAGGCUGCAACUCGCCUACAUGAAGUCGGAAUCGCUAGUAAUCGCGGAUCAGCAUGCCGCGGUGAAUACGUUCCCGGGCCUUGUACACACCGCCCGUCACACCAUGAGAGUUUGUAACACCCAAAGUCGGUGGG
RNAcentral lists this ribosomal RNA (1406 nucleotides) under Lactiplantibacillus plantarum. RNAcentral's name for it is "bacterial SSU rRNA". It matches the Rfam family "Bacterial small subunit ribosomal RNA", at positions 62 to 1434 of the family's 1533-position model. The record is from RNAcentral. Lineage: Bacteria; Bacillati; Bacillota; Bacilli; Lactobacillales; Lactobacillaceae.